RNAcentral lists this ribosomal RNA (1164 nucleotides) under Staphylococcus sp. Its description in RNAcentral is "bacterial SSU rRNA". It matches the Rfam family "Bacterial small subunit ribosomal RNA", at positions 23 to 1167 of the family's 1533-position model. The record is from RNAcentral. Lineage: Bacteria; Bacillati; Bacillota; Bacilli; Caryophanales; Staphylococcaceae.
CUCAGGAUGAACGCUGGCGGCGUGCCUAAUACAUGCAAGUCGAGCGAACGGACGAGAAGCUUGCUUCUCUGAUGUUAGCGGCGGACGGGUGAGUAACACGUGGAUAACCUACCUAUAAGACUGGGAUAACUUCGGGAAACCGGAGCUAAUACCGGAUAAUAUUUUGAACCGCAUGGUUCAAAAGUGAAAGACGGUCUUGCUGUCACUUAUAGAUGGAUCCGCGCUGCAUUAGCUAGUUGGUAAGGUAACGGCUUACCAAGGCAACGAUGCAUAGCCGACCUGAGAGGGUGAUCGGCCACACUGGAACUGAGACACGGUCCAGACUCCUACGGGAGGCAGCAGUAGGGAAUCUUCCGCAAUGGGCGAAAGCCUGACGGAGCAACGCCGCGUGAGUGAUGAAGGUCUUCGGAUCGUAAAACUCUGUUAUUAGGGAAGAACAUAUGUGUAAGUAACUGUGCACAUCUUGACGGUACCUAAUCAGAAAGCCACGGCUAACUACGUGCCAGCAGCCGCGGUAAUACGUAGGUGGCAAGCGUUAUCCGGAAUUAUUGGGCGUAAAGCGCGCGUAGGCGGUUUUUUAAGUCUGAUGUGAAAGCCCACGGCUCAACCGUGGAGGGUCAUUGGAAACUGGAAAACUUGAGUGCAGAAGAGGAAAGUGGAAUUCCAUGUGUAGCGGUGAAAUGCGCAGAGAUAUGGAGGAACACCAGUGGCGAAGGCGACUUUCUGGUCUGUAACUGACGCUGAUGUGCGAAAGCGUGGGGAUCAAACAGGAUUAGAUACCCUGGUAGUCCACGCCGUAAACGAUGAGUGCUAAGUGUUAGGGGGUUUCCGCCCCUUAGUGCUGCAGCUAACGCAUUAAGCACUCCGCCUGGGGAGUACGACCGCAAGGUUGAAACUCAAAGGAAUUGACGGGGACCCGCACAAGCGGUGGAGCAUGUGGUUUAAUUCGAAGCAACGCGAAGAACCUUACCAAAUCUUGACAUCCUUUGACAACUCUAGAGAUAGAGCCUUCCCCUUCGGGGGACAAAGUGACAGGUGGUGCAUGGUUGUCGUCAGCUCGUGUCGUGAGAUGUUGGGUUAAGUCCCGCAACGAGCGCAACCCUUAAGCUUAGUUGCCAUCAUUAAGUUGGGCACUCUAAGUUGACUGCCGGUGACAAACCCGGA